UCGGGAAUUUUGGGCAAUGGGCGAAAGCCUGACCCAGCAACGCCGCGUGAGGGAUGAAGUAUUUCGGUAUGUAAACCUCGAAAGAAUGGGAAGAAUAAAUGACGGUACCAUUUAUAAGCUCCGGCUAACUACGUGCCAGCAGCCGCGGUAAUACGUAGGGAGCAAGCGUUGUCCGGAUUUACUGGGCGUAAAGGGAGCGUAGGCGGACUUUUAAGUGAGAUGUGAAAUACCCGGGCUCAACCUGGGUGCUGCAUUUCAAACUGGAAGUCUAGAGUGCAGGAGAGGAGAGUGGAAUUCCUAGUGUAGCGGUGAAAUGCGUAGAGAUUAGGAAGAACACCAGUGGCGAAGGCGACUCUCUGGACUGUAACUGACGCUGAGGCUCGAAAGCGUGGGGAGCAAACA
Molecule: ribosomal RNA, 402 nt
Filed under: uncultured bacterium
Lineage: Bacteria
Description: bacterial SSU rRNA
Rfam family: Bacterial small subunit ribosomal RNA
Source: RNAcentral